GGAGUUUAGCGUGUACGCAAGUCAUUGGGUGUAUAAAACCCAAAGGCGAAAUGAAAGUAAAGAGUAGAGAUUUGUAAAGAAGUUUACUUUUUUACAAUCUUCUCUUUAGGGAAGAUGGAAAUCUCGUACAGAAAUGUAUGUAGGUUUCCCGCAUUCCCAGGGCGCUUGUUUCUUGCUUUGCGAGUCGAUGCGCACCUAGAGCGUACACGCUGAUACCCGAAAGAUGGUGAACUAUGCCUGGCCAGGACGAAGCCAGGGGAAACCCUGGUGGAGGUCCGCAGCGAUUCUGACGUGCAAAUCGAUCGUCGGAGCUGGGUAUAGGGGCGAAAGACCAAUCGA
Molecule: ribosomal RNA, 339 nt
Filed under: Triatoma sp. S221
Lineage: Eukaryota; Metazoa; Arthropoda; Insecta; Hemiptera; Reduviidae
Description: eukaryotic LSU rRNA
Rfam family: Eukaryotic large subunit ribosomal RNA
Source: RNAcentral